UCCCUGCUGGACUAGUGGCUAACAUGUGGUGUUUUUAUCACCAUGGCCCGGGUUCGAUUCCUGGUUAGGGUU
Pangasianodon gigas (Mekong giant catfish) is the source of this 72-nucleotide non-coding RNA. The record is from the annotation of a GenBank genome assembly. NCBI's taxonomy places the organism in Eukaryota, Metazoa, Chordata, Actinopteri, Siluriformes, Pangasiidae.